RNAcentral lists this ribosomal RNA (1525 nucleotides) under Clostridioides difficile. RNAcentral describes it as "partial 23S ribosomal RNA". It matches the Rfam family "Bacterial large subunit ribosomal RNA", at positions 1 to 1536 of the family's 2925-position model. Lineage: Bacteria; Bacillati; Bacillota; Clostridia; Peptostreptococcales; Peptostreptococcaceae. The record is from RNAcentral.
GGUCAAGUUAUUAAGGGUGCAGGGCGGAUGCCUUGGCACUAGGAGCCGAUGAAGGACGUGAUAAGCUGCGAUAAGCUUCGGGGAGUUGCACGUAAACUUUGAUCCGAAGAUUUCCGAAUGAGGAAACUCACUUAGAGUAAUGUCUAAGUAUCAUUAAGUGAAUACAUAGCUUAAUGAGGGGAACUCAGGGAACUGAAACAUCUAAGUACCUGAAGGAAGAGAAAGAAAUUCGAUUCCGUAAGUAGCGGCGAGCGAACGCGGAUUAGCCCAAACCAAUAAAGUUUUCUUUAUUGGGGUUGCGGACAUAUCAUAACGAAGAGGUAUCGUAAUUGAAGAGGUUUGGAAAGACCCACCACAGAAGGUAAUAGUCCUGUAUGUUAAACGAGAAGACUUUAGAUAUGAUCCAGAGUACCACGGGACACGUGAAACCCUGUGGGAAGCAGGAGGGACCACCCUCCAAGGCUAAAUACUACCUAGUGACCGAUAGCGUAUAGUACCGUGAGGGAAAGGUGAAAAGAACCCCGGGAGGGGAGUGAAAUAGAACCUGAAACCCUGCACUUACAAGCUGUGGAAGCACAUUUCUUGUGUGACCGCGUACUUUUUGUAGAACGGGCCAACGAGUUACGUUAAGUAGCAAGGUUAAGCACUUAAGGUGCGGAGCCGUAGCGAAAGCGAGUUUUAACUGAGCGUUCAGUUACUUGACGUAGACCCGAAACCGGGCGACCUACCCAUGAGCAGGAUGAAGCGAAAGUAAAAUUUCGUGGAGGUCCGAACCCACGAGCGUUGAAAAGCUCGGGGAUGACUUGUGGGUAGCGGUGAAAUUCCAAUCGAGCCCGGAGAUAGCUGGUUCUCCCCGAAAUAGCUUUAGGGCUAGCCUCAAGGUGAGAGAUACGGAGGUAGAGCACUGAAUGUCCUAGGGGGUAUUGCACCUACCGAAGACUAUCAAACUCCGAAUGCCGUCAUCUUAUACUUGGGAGUCAGACUGUGGGUGAUAAGAUUCAUAGUCGAAAGGGCAACAGCCCAGAUCGUCAGCUAAGGUCCCUAAAUGUAAGUUAAGUGGUAAAGGAUGUGGGAUUGCACAGACAACCAGGAUGUUGGCUUAGAAGCAGCCACUCAUUCAAAGAGUGCGUAAUAGCUCACUGGUCGAGUGAUCCUGCGCCGAAGAUUUCCGGGGCUAAAACUUACUACCGAAGCUACGGCAUCAGUAAUGAUGGGUAGGGGAGCUUCCCAUACGGGUUGAAGCAUGACCGUAAGGACAUGUGGACAGUAUGGGAGUGAGAAUGUUGGCAUGAGUAGCGAGAUGUGGGUGAGAAUCCCACAGGCCGUAAACCCAAGGUUUCCAGGGGAAGGUUCGUCCGCCCUGGGUUAGUCGGGACCUAAGCUGAGGCCGAAAGGCGUAGGUGAUGGACAACAGGUUGAUAUUCCUGUACUACCGAUAACCGUUUGAGAGAAGGGAUGACACAGUAGGAUAAGCUAAGCACACUGUUGGUUAUGUGUGCCCAAGCAUUGAGGCAGUCAAAGUAGG